This 293-nucleotide ribosomal RNA is filed under the name uncultured bacterium. RNAcentral's name for it is "partial 16S ribosomal RNA". It matches the Rfam family "Bacterial small subunit ribosomal RNA", at positions 505 to 796 of the family's 1533-position model. The record is from RNAcentral.
GUGCCAGGCAGCCGCGGUAAUCCGGAGGUUCCAAGCGUUGUCCGGACUCACUGGGCGUAAAGGGUGUGCAGGUGGGGCAGCAAGUCAGAGGUGAAAGCCAGCGGCUUAACCGCGGACGUGCCUUUGAAACUGCUGCUCUUGAGUCCCGGAGAGGUUGCCGGAAUUCGUGGUGUAGCGGUGAAAUGCGUAGAUAUCACGAGGAACACCAGAGGCGAAAGCGGGCAACUGGACGGGUACUGACACUGAGGCACGAAAGCGUGGGGAGCAAACAGGAUUAGAUACCCGUGUAGUCC